AUGAACGCUAGCUACAGGCUUAACACAUGCAAGUCGAGGGGCAGCAUGGUCUUAGCUUGCUAAGGCUGAUGGCGACCGGCGCACGGGUGAGUAACACGUAUCCAACCUGCCGUCUACUCUUGGCCAGCCUUCUGAAAGGAAGAUUAAUCCAGGAUGGGAUCAUGAGUUCACAUGUCCGCAUGAUUAAAGGUAUUUUCCGGUAGACGAUGGGGAUGCGUUCCAUUAGAUAGUAGGCGGGGUAACGGCCCACCUAGUCAACGAUGGAUAGGGGUUCUGAGAGGAAGGUCCCCCACAUUGGAACUGAGACACGGUCCAAACUCCUACGGGAGGCAGCAGUGAGGAAUAUUGGUCAAUGGGCGAUGGCCUGAACCAGCCAAGUAGCGUGAAGGAUGACUGCCCUAUGGGUUGUAAACUUCUUUUAUAAAGGAAUAAAGUCGGGUAUGCAUACCCGUU
This 453-nucleotide ribosomal RNA is filed under the name uncultured Bacteroides sp. RNAcentral's name for it is "bacterial SSU rRNA". It matches the Rfam family "Bacterial small subunit ribosomal RNA", at positions 29 to 469 of the family's 1533-position model. Lineage: Bacteria; Pseudomonadati; Bacteroidota; Bacteroidia; Bacteroidales; Bacteroidaceae. The record is from RNAcentral.